AUUAUCUUUUUCUUUCUUCUUUUUCUCUUUCUCUUUUCCGUUCUUCUCCUGUUCUUCUUUCUCUGUCGAAUUCGAGAGAUUAAACGAAAGUUUUGUGAUCGAUAGGAGGUGUAUAAGAUUAUGCAGUAGUUGGUGGUGAUGGUGAUGGUGUAUGUUGAUGAUUCAGACUCGAAGAAGGAAGUGAAUUAAGAAUUAGGUUUUCUUAAUAAGUUCUGUGAGUGUAGAUGGUGAAAUUGAGUAAUUAAGGAGAAGAUUAGAGAUGGGUUGUGGUUUAAUUGAAGUUUUGAAGAUUGAUUCGGUGAUGAAUCGAUGACCUAGGGUUUCUUGAGAAGAACUCUGAGAAGAUUUAGAAAGUGAAUCUAAUACUAUGGAUAGAUGAUUAGAAGUGGGUUUAGUUGAUUGUGGAACGGGACAAGGUUAAUUGGAUGAUAUGGAGUUGCUUGUGAAGAAUUGAAGAGUUAGGGUUAUGUUCUUCCCUAAAACAGAAAAUAGGGUUUAAUUGAGAAUUGGUGGUGUUUAUUCGAAGAUUGAUUCAAGUUCAGAGAAGCUUUGAGGUCAAUGAUAUGGAAUGACAAAGUAAUAUGAUUAUUAUUUUGUUAAGUUGAGACUGAAUAAUCUGGUGAUGCAAGUAUGAGUGGAUUGGAUAACAGUUGGGAGUGAAGUGUGGUUAAAAUGAAAGUUGCAUAUUAGGUUUGAGUUUGUUUUGCAGUUGGGUUUGAGAUGAAUCUGAACUUAGGUUGAAUGCCAGGAAGAUUUUGUUUAGAUAUGAAGAUGCAGGGAUGGUUCUGUGGAAUGAAUGUGACUGAAGUUGCAGGUGAUUAUGGUUUGGCAAGUGCAUGAUCUUGGAGAUGUUAAGAGAGUUAGAAUUGAUGAGUGAUUGUAGAUAUUAAUUGAUAAACAGAAUUGAGAAGUUUCAUUUUGGGAAAGACUAGUGGCUCGAGAGGUAUAAGUUGGACUUAGUAUUGGAGAUAUAUUGGUGGUGUAUGUAUUGCAGAUCAUGAGAAUUAGUAGAGAAGGUGUUGCAUAAAGCUGCAAUUGCAGGUAAACCGAAUUAUCAGUUGUAAUUGAGUUAUGAAAUUAUAGUAACUGAGUUUGAUAGUAUUGAUUGUUGAAGUGUAGAUAAGAAGAGGAAUCUGAAUUAGUUUAUGUUGACUUGAGUCUCCUCAGUGGAAGCUUGCAACUGCAUUUGCAGGUAAAGCUAAGUUUGUAGUUGAAGUUAAAUCAUGAAGUUUAAUUGAAAUGUAUAUGUUUCUUUGUUGUAAUGAGAACUGUAAUUUGAAUUUGAUUGAAGUUCAAAUGAUAAGAAGAAGGCUAUGUUGUAAGAA
This is a long non-coding RNA of Papaver somniferum (opium poppy), 1325 nucleotides long. RefSeq lists it as uncharacterized. NCBI's taxonomy places the organism in Eukaryota, Viridiplantae, Streptophyta, Magnoliopsida, Ranunculales, Papaveraceae. The transcript has 2 exons. The record is from RefSeq and is a predicted model, not a curated record.